Molecule: long non-coding RNA, 496 nt
Filed under: Hordeum vulgare
Lineage: Eukaryota; Viridiplantae; Streptophyta; Magnoliopsida; Poales; Poaceae
Description: long non-coding RNA (HVUL_LNC006593)
Source: RNAcentral
UUCCCUAUAACCCUAGCGUCAUCGAACCUUAAGUGUGUAGACCCUACGGGUUCGGGAGACACGCAGACAUGACUGAGACACCUCUCUGGCCAAUAACCAUCAGCGGGGUCUGGAUACCCAUGGUGGCUCCCACUUGCUCCACGAUGAUCUCAUCGGGUGAACCACGAUGUCAAGGAUUCAAUCAAUCCCGUAUAUGAUUCCCUUUGUCUGUCGGUAUAGAACUUGCCCGAGAUUCGAUCGUCGGUAUACCAAUACCUUGUUCAAUCUCGUUACCAGUAAGUCUCUUUACUCGUUCCGUAGCACAUCAUCGUGUGACAAACUCCUUAGUCACAUUGAGCUCAUGAUGAUGUUCUACCGAGUGGGCCCAGAGAUACCUCUCCGUCACACGGAGUGACAAAUCCCGAUCUCGAUUCGUACCAACCCAACAGACACUUUCGGAGGUACCCAUAGUGCACCUUUAUAGUCACCCAGUUACGUUGUGACGUUUGAUACACCC